AACGCUGAAGGCAUCUAAGCGUGAAGCCCCCCUCAAGAUGAGAUAUCCCAACAAGUAAGACCCCUUAGAGAGUAUGAGGUAGAUAGGCAUGAGGUGGAAGUGCAGCAAUGCAUGGAGCUGACAUGUACUAAUCGGUCGAGGGCUUAACCUGA
This 152-nucleotide ribosomal RNA is filed under the name Clostridiales bacterium. RNAcentral's name for it is "partial 23S ribosomal RNA". It matches the Rfam family "Bacterial large subunit ribosomal RNA", at positions 2767 to 2925 of the family's 2925-position model. Lineage: Bacteria; Bacillati; Bacillota; Clostridia; Eubacteriales. The record is from RNAcentral.